RNAcentral lists this ribosomal RNA (253 nucleotides) under uncultured bacterium. RNAcentral's name for it is "partial 16S ribosomal RNA". It matches the Rfam family "Bacterial small subunit ribosomal RNA", at positions 524 to 776 of the family's 1533-position model. The record is from RNAcentral.
UACGAAGGGGGCUAGCGUUGCUCGGAAUUACUGGGCGUAAAGCGCACGUAGGCGGGUCGUUAAGUCGGGGGUGAAAUCCUGGAGCUCAACUCCAGAACUGCCUUCGAAACUGACGAUCUUGAGUUCGGGAGAGGUGAGUGGAACUGCGAGUGUAGAGGUGAAAUUCGUAGAUAUUCGCAAGAACACCAGUGGCGAAGGCGGCUCACUGGCCCGAUACUGACGCUGAGCCGCGAAAGCCAGGGGAGCGAACGGG